RNAcentral lists this ribosomal RNA (581 nucleotides) under Sporobolomyces pararoseus. RNAcentral's name for it is "eukaryotic LSU rRNA". The stretch from base 167 to 320 matches the Rfam family "5.8S ribosomal RNA". Lineage: Eukaryota; Fungi; Basidiomycota; Microbotryomycetes; Sporidiobolales; Sporidiobolaceae. The record is from RNAcentral.
ACCUGCGGAAGGAUCAUUAUUGAAAACAAGGGUGUCCAAUUUAACUUGGAACCCAAACUUCUCAAUUCUAACUUUGUGCAUCUGUAUUAAUGGCGAGCAACUUCGGUUGUGAGCCUUCACUUACAAAACACUAGUCUAUGAAUGUAAAAUUUUUAUAACAAAUAAAAACUUUCAACAACGGAUCUCUUGGCUCUCGCAUCGAUGAAGAACGCAGCGAAAUGCGAUACGUAAUGUGAAUUGCAGAAUUCAGUGAAUCAUCGAAUCUUUGAACGCAUCUUGCGCUCUCUGGUAUUCCGGAGAGCAUGUCUGUUUGAGUGUCAUGAAUUCUUCAACCCAAUCUUUUCUUGUAAUCGAUUGGUGUUUGGAUUCUGAGCGUUGCUGGCUUUAUUGCUCAGCUCGUUCGUAAUACAUUAGCAUCCCUAAUACAAGUUUGGAUUGACUUGGCGUAAUAGACUAUUCGCUAAGGAUUCGGUGGAAACAUCGAGCCAACUUCAUUAAGGAAGCUCCUAAUUUAAAAGUCUACCUUUUGAUUAGAUCUCAAAUCAGGCAGGAUUACCCGCUGAACUUAAGCAUAUCAAUAA